Molecule: non-coding RNA, 248 nt
Organism: Pelobates cultripes (western spadefoot toad)
Lineage: Eukaryota; Metazoa; Chordata; Amphibia; Anura; Pelobatidae
Source: the annotation of a GenBank genome assembly
CACACACUCUCCCUGCCAUUAUACCCUCACACCCCCCUGCUAUUAUACCGUCACCCUCCCUGCCAUUAUACCCCCACUCUCCCUGUCAAAUAUCCCCAAACCCACCUUAUCAUAAUACCCUCCCCUGCCAUGUACACCCCCACCUUGUCAUAAUAGCCUCCUUGCCAUAUACACCCCUUCUUUGUCAUAUUAUUCUGCCUGCCAUAAAUCCACCACCUGGUCAUAAUUCUCACCCUGGCAUAUCCCCU